ACUUACGGCCAUACCAGCCUGAAUACGCCUGAUCUCGUCUGAUCUCGGAAGCUAAGCAGGGUCAGGUCUGGUUAGUACUUGGGUGGAAGACUGCCUGGGAAUACCAGGUGCUGUAAGUG
This 119-nucleotide ribosomal RNA is filed under the name Hucho hucho (huchen). Lineage: Eukaryota; Metazoa; Chordata; Actinopteri; Salmoniformes; Salmonidae. The record is from RNAcentral.